This 207-nucleotide ribosomal RNA is filed under the name uncultured bacterium. RNAcentral describes it as "partial 16S ribosomal RNA". It matches the Rfam family "Bacterial small subunit ribosomal RNA", at positions 568 to 774 of the family's 1533-position model. The record is from RNAcentral.
CGCGUAGGCGGUUUAGCAAGUCGGAUGUGAAAGCCCGGGGCUCAACCCCGGAAAUGCAUCCGAUACUGCUUCACUUGAGUACGGGAGAAGGAUGCGGAAUUCCCAGUGUAGAGGUGAAAUUCGUUGAUAUUGGGAGGAACACCGGUGGCGAAAGCGGCAUCCCGGCCCAGUACUGACGCUGAGGCGCGAAAGCGUGGGGAGCAAACA